UAUAGAACUUUAAACGUAAUUUUAAUAAUUUAUUUAUAUUUUUUUAAAAUUAUAAGAUUUUAAUACAUAAAAAUAAUGUCAUCAUGCGAAUUGAAUCUUGAAAAUUCUAAGGGAGAAAAUAUCCCGUCUCCACUGCUCAGUUUCGAGGUCAGUGAAAUCCAAGAAAAUUAAUUAAGUUUAACUCAUAAGCCAUCCCUAAUUAAGGGAGAGAAAUACUAAAUUUCUUAAUGCAAUUUCAUUAAGGAAAAUUUAAAGAAAAAAAGACUUGUUAACUGUCCGUGUGCUUGGUUUGUCCAAAUGACAAAUAUAUAAUAGAACAGAAGGCAUGCAAACCAUGAUCCAAUGAUUAAAGAGAUGAAAGUUAAAAAGGAAACCCGCAAUUCAUAACAUUCUACCAAAAAAAAAGCAUUCGCACACAAUCUUUCGACAAGCUGCAACACGUGAAAUUAUGGCACAAAAACCAUGGAAACACAUUAUCUGCCAAAAUGAUAUCAAAGAUGUUGGACGAAUUCUAAUUUGGUUUAACGAUAGCCCUGCAAUGGAUCAGCUGCUUUGCCUGAUCUUGCAUCAGUCCAUGCUUUUGCAAUGGUUUUUUUCAUUUCAUCAUCCCCUUCUUCGUACAUAUUCUUCAUUAAGUCCAUAAUUCCAGCCAUGGGAUCUCGAUCCUUACCCAGAUUUGGCUUCAGCUUGUCCUCUUUGUAGUGCAAGUCUAACCAGUUACCCUUCGAAGCUUUAAACAAAGUGAUGAUAACCCUGGUAGGCUUAACUAACACUUUACAUUUCUCCGGUUCUAUCUCCUUGUUCAAUUUUGGUAUCGCACAUCGGUAGUUCUUUCCUUGCACAUCAUGGAAUUUGACAUCGAAUGACAUUGGCUUGAAGUCUGUCUCAAUAUUUUCUUGCUUGACACCCUCUAGAGAGACAUAUAUCUUGACUUUGUCAUUGUCCUGAUCCCAGCUGAAAGAUCCAAGCGUAACAUAAUUCAGAGCAGGGGUUGGAGGCACCUUGACUCCAGUUGCUAAUUGAGUUGGAGUUGGAACAGGUACAGAAAUAGGCUCCUUUGACAACUAAGCAUGGAAAGUAAAUAGCCAUUUAGUGGUUGCAAGCAAAGUCGAGGAUUCCCAAAAGCCUCGUUGGCCUACGAUAAUACUACGAUUGAAUACUAAUCUACAAAAAGAAUAACAACUACCAAACCAAUAAACACUCAUCUGUCGGGAACAAUCCAAAAACACAAAAAUUGAAUGUCUAUCCAAAUGCCAAGGGAGGAAGAGGGAAAAAUUAAUUAAAAAAAAGGAAAAAGAGAGAGAAAAGGAAGAAAGAGAGAGAAAGAAGGAUAGACGUUACAUCUACAGAAACUAUGAGCAAAUAAAACAAGAGCAGAAAUGGCUAAUUAAGCAAAAUUCUACACCAAAGUUAAAAGAGUCACUUUUAUCACUAUAAAAGAAUACAGAGAUGCUUAAUUUACUUGAACUUCAUUAAUGAUCAGCUUCACGGAAGCAUAAUUGCGCAUUUCAUGCUAUGUUGAUCUUAUGAAGCAUUGUGGGUCAGUUUCAACUUACAACGCUGAUACAGUCUUUACAGAAUAUUCUAAGACAACCAUCCAUUAUGCCAAAUAGCAUUAGCAAAUUAUAGCAAACAAAGGAUCCUAGCGAAUUUAUUGUCUAAACAUUAAAGCACUAAACAUUAGAGUCGCUAUCAAGCCAAAAAUCCUGGGAAAAGUGAUGAUAAUAAAAAUUCCACCAUAAUUUACAGUAUGAAACUCUGAAGUGGAAAACAUCAUCAUACCACGAAUACGACAAUAACAAUAAUCCAAAACUUCCUUCCUCGCAACAAUACUAUGAUAAUCCACAGAUAACAUACACAGGAAAGGGCAAGUAAUUAGCAAAAACUAGUUAGAAACGUUUCAACCAAAGUAUCGGAUUUAGCUUCAAAGACAAGGAUAAUUAUACAAUACUCCCGUGAACAAAUAGUGCAUCAGUGAGCAAGGGCGCUCUGAAUGAUUUUCUGAAACACAUAAUCAAGAAUAGAAAAACACAAAUUAAGCCAAAGCAUCAAGAAAAGCACACCUUCUCCAAGUUGCGUAUCUCAGAGGAGAUGAGCGAGAGGACUCUUGGCCUCUUGGCUAAGCUUUGUAGCUGCCUUAGCUCCUCCAAAUCCAACGCCAAUUCGUCACCCAUUUUUCCUUCUUUUUCUGUACAAAUGAAAUAGAAGAGAGUGAUUUUAUAAGUGAAUAAAAAGGAACAUAACACUGCUGUGUGUGGAAAAUGCUAGAAC
Molecule: unclassified non-coding RNA, 2271 nt
Filed under: Hevea brasiliensis (rubber tree)
Lineage: Eukaryota; Viridiplantae; Streptophyta; Magnoliopsida; Malpighiales; Euphorbiaceae
Source: RNAcentral